GAAGCUUCUUGGCCUUUUGGCUAAGAUCAAGUGUAGUAUCUGUUCUUAUCAGUUUCAUGCCGGUGGCAGUCAAUGCCGGUUGGGAGCUGGUGAGGAUUGGUGCUGCAUGGUAGGGGGCAGGUGUACCGGGGCAUUCCGGGGCUGAUUCUGAGGUAUCGGCUCGACAGCUGCCCCGAUGUGACCUGUU
Hyla sarda is the source of this 187-nucleotide small nuclear RNA. RefSeq annotates it as U2 spliceosomal RNA. The transcript has a single exon. The record is from RefSeq and is a predicted model, not a curated record. Lineage: Eukaryota; Metazoa; Chordata; Amphibia; Anura; Hylidae.